AUCUCCACUAUCACUGACGAGAACAAGCGCUACUUGGAAACCAAGCGCGAGAAAAUGGGCCAUGUCUAUGGCUCGGACUUAUUUCUCAUUGCUGACAAGGUAAAUGGGGAGAAAAAGAGCCAAAAUUCUCUUUAAUAAUACGUCGAGUGUUCGAAUCUCGGUAAUCAUCAAAUUCUUUCCAAAUUUGCAAGCUGGAAAUUUCCGAACAUGAAAAACUUUCCCAUUGAGAGAGCAGCCUUACCUCUAACUGGUUUGGAAGAAAACUGUUGGACGGCUUUCAAUGUCGAUGCCGCUUUUGCG
This 300-nucleotide long non-coding RNA is filed under the name Selaginella moellendorffii. Its description in RNAcentral is "long non-coding RNA (SMOE_LNC000089)". Lineage: Eukaryota; Viridiplantae; Streptophyta; Lycopodiopsida; Selaginellales; Selaginellaceae. The record is from RNAcentral.